UGCCCAGCAACUCCUAUCCCUACCUCCUCGCGGUACUGGCCGGGGUACGAAUAACCUUGGCGAAGAUCGGGUAACCAGCCCCCAGUGGUAACUUUGGUCGUAUGCUGACAGGGAAGG
Molecule: ribozyme, 117 nt
Filed under: Aedes aegypti (yellow fever mosquito)
Lineage: Eukaryota; Metazoa; Arthropoda; Insecta; Diptera; Culicidae
Description: drz-agam-1 ribozyme
Rfam family: drz-agam-1 ribozyme
Source: Rfam by way of RNAcentral